CAGCAGUAGGGAAUCUUCCGCAAUGGACGAAAGUCUGACGGAGCAACGCCGCGUGAGUGAUGAAGGCUUUCGGGUCGUAAAGCUCUGUUGCCAGGGAAGAACACUUAGGAGAGUAACUGCUCUUAAGGUGACGGUACCUGAGAAGAAAGCCCCGGCUAACUACGUGCCAGCAGCCGCGGUAAUACGUAGGGGGCAAGCGUUGUCCGGAAUUGUUGGGCGUAAAGCGCGCGCAGGCGGCUUUGUAAGUCUGUCGUUUAAGUUCGGGGCUCAGCCCCGUAUCGCCAUGGAAACUGCAAGGCUUGAGUGCAGAAGAGGAAAGUGGAAUUCCACGUGUAGCGGUGAAAUGCGUAGAGAUGUGGAGGAACACCAGUGGCGAAGGCGACUUUCUGGGCUGUAACUGACGCUGAGGCGCGAAAGCGUGGGGAGCAAACAGGAUUAGAUACCCUG
This 447-nucleotide ribosomal RNA is filed under the name uncultured Paenibacillus sp. RNAcentral's name for it is "bacterial SSU rRNA". It matches the Rfam family "Bacterial small subunit ribosomal RNA", at positions 349 to 789 of the family's 1533-position model. The record is from RNAcentral. Lineage: Bacteria; Bacillati; Bacillota; Bacilli; Caryophanales; Paenibacillaceae.